AUGCGGCUCCCUGCUCAGCUCCUGGGGCUGCUGGUGCUCUGGGUCCCUGGAUCCAGUGGUGAUGUUGUGAUGACCCAGACUCCCCUGUCCCUGCCUGUCACCCCUGGAGAGUUGGCCUCUAUCUCUUGCAGGGCCAGUGAGAGUAUCCAAGACAGUGAUGGAAACACCUAUUUGAAUUGGGUCCUGCAAAAGCCAGGCCAACCACCAAAACGCCUGAUUUAUAAGGUUUCCAACGGGGACAAUGGGGUCUCAGACAGGUUUAGUGGCAGUGGGUCAGGGACAGAUUUCACACUGAAAAUCAGCAGGGUGGAGGCUGAGGAUGUGGGAGUGUAUUACUGUGCUCAAAGUACAAAGAUUCAUCACACAGUGGUACAGCCCCGAACACAAACCUCCAUGCUUGGGGUGGCCCAGCUGCCCAAAUGUGUUGCCUGCUGA
Non-coding RNA from Microcebus murinus (gray mouse lemur), 435 nucleotides. Lineage: Eukaryota; Metazoa; Chordata; Mammalia; Primates; Cheirogaleidae. The record is from the annotation of a RefSeq genome assembly.